This 222-nucleotide ribosomal RNA is filed under the name uncultured bacterium. Its description in RNAcentral is "partial 16S ribosomal RNA". It matches the Rfam family "Bacterial small subunit ribosomal RNA", at positions 116 to 334 of the family's 1533-position model. The record is from RNAcentral.
CGUAGGUAACCUGCCUGGUAGCGGGGGAUAAUAUUGGAAACGAUAGCUAAUACCGCAUAAGAGUAGAUGUUGCAUGACAUUUACUUAAAAGAUGCAAUUGCAUCACUACCAGAUGGACCUGCGUUGUAUUAGCUAGUUGGUGGGGUAACGGCUCACCAAGGCGACGAUACAUAGCCGACCUGAGAGGGUGAUCGGCCACACUGGGACUGAGACACGGCCCAG